UUUUCUUUAAUUUCGAAAUUUUUGUAAUUAAUGUGAAUGAUACUUUUUUUUUUUGUCUUAGUAUUAUUGCCAUCAUCAUACUAGAAAACAUUGACUAACGAACUCUAAAUCGAGUUAAUCGUUGUCAUAUCAAAUUAAGAAAGAAAAAUAACAGGAAAAUAAAUAACAAUUUUCUUACCCCAUUUGCUUAUUGACUCUCUUAAACAAACAAAUCUUAAAAAGCAAGAGAAGAGGAUAUUUAUUACAAACACAUCUCUGCAACGAGCUCAUCCAAGUUCUUGUAAGAGCUCCCACCUUCUUUAAUGGCCUCCAUAGCUUUCUCCCUCAGCUUCAUCAACGUAACUCUCUCCGGCAAGUCCUCUCUCGCCGACUCAGCCAAAAUCCUAGCGAGCUUGUCCGAGUCAGGAACCGAGUCUCUGUUCUCUCCAACUCGCACUGCGGCUCUUAGUUUAUCAACGAUGAGCGUCGUGUUAAAGAAAUGGUCUGCUUGCAUCGGCCACGCUAGCAACAUAACUCCUCCGACCAUUCCUUCCAGAACCGAACCCCAACCCAAAUGAGUUAGGUAAGAUCCAACGGCUCGAUGCUCAAGAAUCAUAGUUUGUGGGGCCCAUCCUCUUAUCACGAGUCCUUUCUCCUUCACUCUCUCUUCAAAUCCCGCCGGGAUCACAUCUUCCUCAACGGAGUUAUCGCUGGAGUUCACCUUCUUAGCUGCGUCUCUCACCGCCCAUAUGAAACGCACACUGCUUUUCUCCAACGCCGCCGCUAAAGCAGCUGUUUGCUCCGCCGUGAGCCGGAUCUGGCUUCCAAAACCGACGUAUACGACGGAGUUAUCCUCGGGGCACGAAUCUAACCAAGCCGAGACUUUCGCCGGCGGGAUUGAGCUUUGUCCGCCACGGUCAACGCCAGCUUUAAAGGGGAGCAACGGUCCGACGGUCCAUAUACGGUGGUGAUUCAGGAAACGUGUUUUAACAGUUUCUACAAACUCAGGCUCGAGGUCGUAGAAACUGUUGAUGACGAGCCCGUAGCUUUCCGUUGUGGCAGUCUCGAGAUCGUUGAAGAAGCUUCUAUCUUCUUGAGCCCACAUGACGGAGAUCGAAUGAGCAUUGAUGGGUAAGAAACUAAUGGACUUAAUAGAGAAAGCAUCAGCUACUUUGUUAAUCCAAGGGCUGAGAAAUGAGCUUCCUAGGAUGGCGUCGGGGAGAUCCGACGGUGGUUGACGGCUGAGAAAGUCAACGAGAGGGUCGUGGAGACGAGAGAGAGCAUCAAACAUGUGAACUAUAGCUUCGAGAGGAAGUUGCUGGAGAGAUUCGACACCGGAAGGUAUACAAGGGUGAGAAGGAAAAGGAAGGAUUAGGGUUUUGAAGUGUUCCGGGGAGUGAAGAGAACGGAGAGCAUCGAGAUAGGAAGAGUUUUUGGGUGUGACGAGGACAGUGACGGUGGCUCCACGGAGAAGAAUCUGAUGCGUGAGGUCAAGAUGUGGAACCAUGUGACCGGAUUGUGGAAACGGUAUCACCAGAACGUGCGGCUUCUUCGUUGUUGUUGUUGUCAUGAUUGAUGUUUUUUUCUUUCUUUCUGGUUUUGGAGUGGAGAAAAAUUGAAAAGUGGAACUCCUUUUAUUUUUAGUUUUACUGCCG
RNAcentral lists this long non-coding RNA (1634 nucleotides) under Arabidopsis thaliana (thale cress). RNAcentral's name for it is "ncRNA (AT1G06002)". The record is from RNAcentral. Lineage: Eukaryota; Viridiplantae; Streptophyta; Magnoliopsida; Brassicales; Brassicaceae.